UACGUAGGGGGCUAGCGUUGUCCGGAAUCAUUGGGCGUAAAGCGCGUGUAGGCGGCUUUGCAAGUCGGGUGUGAAAUCCCUCAGCUCAACUGAGGAAGUGCGCCCGAAACUGCUUAGCUUGAGUGCCGGAGAGGAUGGCGGAAUUCCCCAAGUAGAGGUGAAAUUCGUAGAUAUGGGGAGGAACACCGGUGGCGAAGGCGGCCAUCUGGACGGUAACUGACGCUGAGACGCGAAAGCGUGGGUAGCAAACAGG
Molecule: ribosomal RNA, 253 nt
Filed under: uncultured bacterium
Lineage: Bacteria
Description: partial 16S ribosomal RNA
Rfam family: Bacterial small subunit ribosomal RNA
Source: RNAcentral